RNAcentral lists this ribosomal RNA (497 nucleotides) under uncultured bacterium. Its description in RNAcentral is "partial 16S ribosomal RNA". It matches the Rfam family "Bacterial small subunit ribosomal RNA", at positions 28 to 507 of the family's 1533-position model. The record is from RNAcentral.
GAUGAACGCUGGCGGCGUGCCUAAUACAUGCAAGUCGAGCGAACAGACGAGGAGCUUGCUCCUCUGACGUUAGCGGCGGACGGGUGAGUAACACGUGGAUAACCUACCUAUAAGACUGGGAUAACUUCGGGAAACCGGAGCUAAUACCGGAUAAUAUGUUGAACCGCAUGGUUCAAUAGUGAAAGACGGUGUUGCUGUCACUUAUAGAUGGAUCCGCGCCGCAUUAGCUAGUUGGUAAGGUAACGGCUUACCAAGGCAACGAUGCGUAGCCGACCUGAGAGGGUGAUAGGCCACACUGGAACUGAGACACGGUCCAGACUCCUACGGGAGGCAGCAGUAGGGAAUCUUCCGCAAUGGGCGAAAGCCUGACGGAGCAACGCCGCGUGAGUGAAGAAGGUCUUCGGAUCGUAAAACCCUGUUAUUAGGGAAGAACAAAUGUGUAAGUAACUAUGCACGUCUUGACGGUACCUAAUCAGAAAGCCACGGCUAACUACGUG